UCCACUGGUAGGCUUCUGAGAUAUGAUCCUCCUACUAAGACAACUCAUAUUGUCUUGGAAGGUUUGGCUUUUCCAAAUGGGUUGUAGCUUUCUAAGGACCAAACCUUCCUCCUCUUUACUGAGACCACCAACUGCAGGCUAAUGAAAUAUUGGCUAGAGGGUCCUAAAAAUGGGACAGUGGAACUUGUUGCUGACCUUCCAGGUUUUCCAGACAACAUAAGAAUAAAUGAGAAAGGCCAAUUCUGGGUUGCCAUAGAUUGUUGCAGGACCCCAGCACAAGAAAUCCUCUCUCACAAUCCAUGGAUAUGAAGUGUAUACUUUCGCUUGCCGAUCCGAAUGACCUACUUAGCGCAAUUUAUGGGGAUGAAGAUGUACACAUUGAUCUCCCUCUUCAAUGAGAAGGGGGAAAUUUUAGAAGUUCUCGAAGAUCGAAAGGGUGCCGUUAUGAAACUUGUGAGUGAAGUUAGGGAAGCAAAGGGCAAACUGUGGAUUGGAACUGUGGCUCAUAACCACAUUGCCACCCUUCCUUACCCUUAAGAAUCAUUUGGGGCUGUAGAUGAAUAUCUUGUUGUUCAUACAAGCCCUUUAGCAACGAUAUCAUAAAUGGGUGGCUUGAUUUAUGAUUUGUGUAACAGUAUUGAUAAUUAGAUGAUUUGAGGUUUGUGGCUUUU
Molecule: long non-coding RNA, 671 nt
Organism: Prunus dulcis (almond)
Lineage: Eukaryota; Viridiplantae; Streptophyta; Magnoliopsida; Rosales; Rosaceae
Exons: 2
Source: RefSeq, a predicted model, not a curated record